GCCGGGCGUGGUGGCGCGCGCCCGUAGUCCCAGCUACUCGGGAGGCUGAGGCAGGAGAAUCGCUUGGACCCAGGAGGUGGAGGUUGCAGUGAGCCGAGAUCGCGCCAUUGCCCUCCAGCCUGGGCGACAGAGCGAGACUCCGUCUCAA
This is an unclassified non-coding RNA of Callithrix jacchus (white-tufted-ear marmoset), 148 nucleotides long. It matches the Rfam family "Metazoan signal recognition particle RNA". Rfam says of the family: The signal recognition particle (SRP) is a universally conserved ribonucleoprotein. It is involved in the co-translational targeting of proteins to membranes. NCBI's taxonomy places the organism in Eukaryota, Metazoa, Chordata, Mammalia, Primates, Cebidae. The record is from Ensembl.